Molecule: microRNA precursor, 196 nt
Organism: Oryza sativa Indica Group (long-grained rice)
Lineage: Eukaryota; Viridiplantae; Streptophyta; Magnoliopsida; Poales; Poaceae
Rfam family: MIR812 microRNA precursor family
Source: Rfam
AAAAAGACAAACCCUGAUUUCCGUGUACAACGUUUGACUAUCCGUCUUAUAUAAUUUUUUUAUAAUUAGUAUUUUCAUUGUUGUUAGAUGAUAAAACAUGAUUAAUAUUUUAUGCAUGACUUGUCUUUUUUAAUUUUUUUCAUAAUUUUUUCAAAUAAGAUGGAUGGUUAAAUGUUGGACUCGGAAACCCAGGGUU